CCUGGUGGCUCAGAGGGUAAAGCGUCUGCCUGCAAAGCAGGAGACCUGGGUUCGAUCCCUGGGUCAGGA
RNAcentral lists this transfer RNA (69 nucleotides) under Ovis aries (sheep). It matches the Rfam family "tRNA". From Rfam's summary of the family: Transfer RNA (tRNA) molecules are approximately 80 nucleotides in length. Their secondary structure includes four short double-helical elements and three loops (D, anti-codon, and T loops). Lineage: Eukaryota; Metazoa; Chordata; Mammalia; Artiodactyla; Bovidae. RNAcentral also lists the same sequence under 1 other name. The record is from Rfam by way of RNAcentral.